This 45-nucleotide ribosomal RNA is filed under the name Termitomyces fuliginosus. Its description in RNAcentral is "partial 28S ribosomal RNA". The record is from RNAcentral. Lineage: Eukaryota; Fungi; Basidiomycota; Agaricomycetes; Agaricales; Lyophyllaceae.
UUGACAAUUUGACCUCAAAUCAGGUAGGACUACCCGCUGAACUUA